UGGGCCGUGUGCUGUCCCUGGAACCAAGGGUAGGAUCAGCCUUGCUCAAGUCACACAGCCUGCGAGUACAUGGGCGGGGGGAGGUAUGUCCCCAACAGUCCUAGCCACUAGCAAACUUCAGUUCUCCAGGCCAGAUUGUGGCUCUGAGCUCCUUGGGCCCCAGAAUGGGGCUGGGUGCCCAGGAAGGCCAGGUCUCCUUUGGCUUGCUGUCUGCUCCAUGACCUGCCCAACCAGCACAGCCAGUGUGGAGGCCAGGUCCUGGCUGUCCUCCCCACCCACGGAGGCCCUGCCCUCAAUCCAGCACCCGGUGUUCCCAAAACCUGGGCCCCAAGAGAAGAGAGGUGCACAGGGCCGCUCGGGAGGAAGGCCCGUGCAGGCAGAGAGGUAAACGGACAGGGCUGGCGAGUGCGGCCCCAGCGGCUGAGGCGGUACAAGGGUGCAGGGGUUGGGGGCUUGCCAUGGAAUGGUGUUGGGCAGGGAGCAUGGGGUGAGAUUUGGACUUUCACAAUCCCUUGUAGCUUUUGGAGCCUCCCCAAGAGCUGUCGUAUCCCUCCUUUCUUCCAGUUACUGUUGCAACCAACAGAGGCUGUUUGUACCACUAAAACAAAAGAAAUCCCCUCUGGUCCUGUGCUGUGUGGACCAGGCCAAGGGCGGGGAAUGGAGGCGGGGCAGCUGGUCUGGGAGCUGGAAAGAGUCACAGGAGCCGGGCAGCCCAGGGUGGCACUGGGCUCUGAAUCUCAGCUCCCUCCGCCCUCACUCUCUGCCCAGGGCAGGUCGCAGAACUUCACACCCAGGAUUCUCCUCCGUAAAAUGGGCUCACCGACCCCACAUCAUCCCUGGCGGGUCUGAUGGCAUUCACAGAGCUAAUGCAGCCCACUGCCAUUGGCUCCGACCUCUUCCAAGACCGGCCCCGGCUGGCAGCUUGGCGGGCCCACGUAGAGGCCACCCUGGGACCCGAGCUCGCCCAGGAAGCCCAUACACUUGUGCUCCAGCCUCGGGACCCCCAAGAGGCCCAGUGGGACCCCCAGCUAGCCCAGAAGCUGGCGCAGUGGCUGCAGGAGUGUCUCCGCUGAGAGGGGUGUGCCCGCUCCCCGGCACUCUGCCAACCACAGGAAACAUGCCAUGUGCCCUGACUCGUCUGCAGCCUCUCUCUACCCCAGGAAGUGGUGCCCCCCCAUUUCUGAGCAGACAGGGAAUCUCCCAAGAUCACCCAGCAUGAAGUGAGUGGCACUCAGCCCUCGCCGCGGUGUCUAGUUACCUCCCUCACCAUUGGGUGCUGAGUUCCAGGUGUCCAGCCAGGCCACUGCCCGUCCCCUCUCAGUUUCUGGGGUCCUCUGCAUGGCACAACCCAGCUGGCCACUCUUGACUGACUCCCUGUGGUGUUGUCCCCUACGCCCUGACAUCUCCCCAGGCCCCUGUUUCUCUUUCUCCCAAUCCUUUCCUAGCCAAUGUUCAGGCUAGGUUGACCUGUGAAUACUCUCAGUCUCUGUUCUGGAACCCUCCAGGGGUUCUCAUCGCCCCACCCUCCUUCUGGACCGGCCAAGCCCAUUUGGUCACAUUCCACAGUGAAGGCCUGGCCCCGGGAAUUCCCAUGCAUAAGCAGACAGGGCCAUGUGCCCCAAGGGUGGGAAGGGCAGGGUCGCAGUUGCCCCAACACCAUGACCCCAGGCCAGGGGCCUCUCCCCAGUCUACUCUUGGGUCUCCUCAGAAUCCUUGCUGCUCUGAGAAUUCCAGGCUUCCUAGCCUCAUGACAACACAAAGUGAAACAAGAAGUUCCAGAACAUGGGGGCCUGGGUCUGGGUUGGAGAGAGCAAGCCAAGGGCUGGCUGGCGGGCACAGGGCCAGGGGCUCAGGUAGCAUACAGGCUCCAGUUCAGGGCCUGCAGCCUGGGCUGGAGGGGCUCAGCACAGUCUCAGCAUGGGCCUGGAGCUCUACCUGGACCUGCUGUCGGCCUCCUGCCGUGCCGUCUACAUCUUUGCCAAGAAGAACAACAUCCCCUUCGACUUCCAGUUUGUGGAUCUGCUGAAAGGCCACCAUCACAGCAAGGAAUACAUCGAGAUCAACCCCCUGAGGAAGCUGCCCUGCCUCAAAGAUGGAAAAUUUAUCUUAUCUGAAAGCGCGGCCAUCCUCUUCUACCUGUGCCGCAAGUACAGUGCACCCUCGCACUGGUACCCGCCAGACCUGCACACUCGCGCCCGCGUGGAUGAGUUCAUGGCCUGGCAGCACACGGGCAUUCAGCUGCCUAUGAGCAAGAUGCUCUGGAUCAAGGAUUCUUUCCUGCUGGGAUCUCAAAAUCCUUCUGAACAUUGGCCCCAGGCAACUUCUACCAACCAGAAGAGGUGAAACCACUUUAUAUCCUUGGUUCUGUCCAACACUCUCUAGCAGAAAAGGGUACUGAGGCCUGGAGGGUCAGAUGGCACUGGGGUGCAGCCUCCUCUUCCCUCCUCUCCCCCACCCUGGCCAGCUGCUGAUCCCCAUGAUCACAGGUGAGGAGGUUCCAGCUGAGAAGACAGAGCGGAUGCUGGCAGAGGUGAAGAACACCCUGCAGCUCUUUGAGGAGAAGUUUCUGCAGGACAAGAUGUUCAUCACGGGGGACCAUGUCUCACUGGCCGACUUGGUGGCCCUGGUGGAGAUGAUGCAGGUGUGGAGUGGAGUGGAGCAGGGGAUAGAGGCCGGGCAGAGCCCAUGGGGGGCAACCAUAACGUCUUCCUCAACAGCUCCAAGCUGGCUGAGUGGCGCAUGAGGGUGGAGCUGGCCAUUGGUUCCGGUCUCUUCUGGGAGGCCCACGACCGGCUGGUGAAGUUGGAAGAGUGGGACUGUUCAACCCUGGACCCGCUGGUCAAGGAGAGGAUCUGCGAGCUGCUGCAGAAGUUCAAAUAGAAGCAGCCCCUCCUGCAGGGCCUGGCUGGCUCAGCCCUCGGAGCCUCCUUCUUGGGGGAGACGCUGAAAACACCUCGGUUUCUUUGUCUAAUAAAGAACAGCCACCACUGCUGCUGAGCCUGGGACAGUUGGUAUGAGCAUAGUGUCCGAUGUGGGAGUGGGUGGUGGUCAUGGGUCCUCCCAACUUCCAAAAAGACCUUAAAAAUUAAAGGUUAAAUGUGAUUAACUGUCAAUAACAAUAGUUGAUGACGUCAAUACUUCACUUUCAAUGAUGGACAGAAUAAUGAGACAGAAGAGCAUCAAGGAACUAGAGGACUUGAAACACUAUAAACCAACUGAAACUACCAGAUACAUACAGAGCCCGCCACCCGACAACAGCAGAAUAAACAUUCUUCUCAAGAGCACAUGCAAUAUUCUCCAGGAUAGACCAUAAGUUAGGCCAUAAAAUACACUCCAAUAAAUUUAAACAGACUGCAAUCAUACAAUGUAUGUUCUCUGAACACAAUGGAAUGAAAUCAGAAAUCAAUAACAGAAGGAAACUAGAAAACUCACAAAUAUCUAGAAAUUAAACAAUACACUCUUAAACAACAAUCAAUGAGUCAAAGAACAAAUCACAAGGGAAGUUAGAAUGCACCUUGAACAAACGAAAACAAAACCACAACACACCAAAACUUACGAGGUGCAGCAGAAGCAGAACCAAGAGGGAAAUUUAUAGCUGUAAAUGCAUACAUUAAAACAGAAGACAGAUCUCAAAUCACUACCUAACUUUACACCUUAAGAACUAGAAAAAGAAAAGCAAACCAAACCCAACAACAGCAAAAGAAAGGAAAUGAUAAAGAUUAGAGUGGGGAAAUAGAGAAUAGCCUAACAGUAGAGAAAAAUUAACGAAACCAAAAAUUGGAUUUUUGAGAAGAUCAACAAAAUGAACCAACCUUUAGCUAGAAUGAUGAAGAAAAAAAAUCAGACUUGAAUUACUCAGAUCAGGAGUGAAAGUGGGCCUGUCACUACUGAUCUUACAGAAGUGCAAAGGAUUAUAAAGAAAUACUAUGAACGACUGUAUGUGAAUAAAUUAGACGACCUAGGCGAAAUGGAAAAUUCCUAGAAACACACAUCUAGGUCUGGGGUUUAGGAUGGGGGCCUGAGAUUCUGCAUUUCUAACAAGCUCAUGGGCAAGGCUGCAUUUCUAACAAGCUCAUGCUGCUGCAAGGACCACAAUGGGAGUAGCAAGCAGCUAGGCCCUUCUUCAAAGGGAAAAAUGUUUUCUCUUGAGGAAAUUUGAGUGCACCCAUGUUCCCUGCUAAAGACGGUUUCAGUUUAAAUGUCAAGAAUGUGAGAUGCCACAGGAGAAGAUGUGGGCAUAGGAGAG
RNAcentral lists this long non-coding RNA (4246 nucleotides) under Equus caballus (horse). RNAcentral describes it as "lncRNA (ENSECAG00000011771.4)". Lineage: Eukaryota; Metazoa; Chordata; Mammalia; Perissodactyla; Equidae. The record is from RNAcentral.